This 483-nucleotide ribosomal RNA is filed under the name Pseudomonas sp. 01WB03.2-38. RNAcentral describes it as "bacterial SSU rRNA". It matches the Rfam family "Bacterial small subunit ribosomal RNA", at positions 1 to 484 of the family's 1533-position model. Lineage: Bacteria; Pseudomonadati; Pseudomonadota; Gammaproteobacteria; Pseudomonadales; Pseudomonadaceae. The record is from RNAcentral.
UAGAGCUUGAUCAUGGCUCAGAUUGAACGCUGGCGGCAGGCCUAACACAUGCAAGUCGAGCGGCAGCACGGGUACUUGUACCUGGUGGCGAGCGGCGGACGGGUGAGUAAUGCCUAGGAAUCUGCCUGGUAGUGGGGGAUAACGCUCGGAAACGGACGCUAAUACCGCAUACGUCCUACGGGAGAAAGCAGGGGACCUUCGGGCCUUGCGCUAUCAGAUGAGCCUAGGUCGGAUUAGCUAGUUGGUGAGGUAAUGGCUCACCAAGGCGACGAUCCGUAACUGGUCUGAGAGGAUGAUCAGUCACACUGGAACUGAGACACGGUCCAGACUCCUACGGGAGGCAGCAGUGGGGAAUAUUGGACAAUGGGCGAAAGCCUGAUCCAGCCAUGCCGCGUGUGUGAAGAAGGUCUUCGGAUUGUAAAGCACUUUAAGUUGGGAGGAAGGGCAUUUACCUAAUACGUAAGUGUUUUGACGUACCGACAG